CAUGCAAGUCGAGCGGCAGCACGGGAGCUUGCUCCUGGUGGCGAGCGGCGGACGGGUGAGUAAUGCCUAGGAAUCUGCCUGAUAGUGGGGGAUAACGUUCGGAAACGGACGCUAAUACCGCAUACGUCCUACGGGAGAAAGUGGGGGACCUUCGGGCCUCACGCUAUCAGAUGAGCCUAGGUCGGAUUAGCUAGUUGGUGGGGUAAUGGCUCACCAAGGCGACGAUCCGUAACUGGUCUGAGAGGAUGAUCAGUCACACUGGAACUGAGACACGGUCCAGACUCCUACGGGAGGCAGCAGUGGGGAAUAUUGGACAAUGGGCGCAAGCCUGAUCCAGCCAUGCCGCGUGUGUGAAGAAGGUCUUCGGAUUGUAAAGCACUUUAAGUUGGGAGGAAGGGCUGNGCACGAAUACUGUGCAGUUUUGACGUUACCGACAGAAUAAGCACCGGCUAACUCUGUGCCAGCAGCCGCGGUAAUACAGAGGGUGCAAGCGUUAAUCGGAAUUACUGGGCGUAAAGCGCGCGUAGGUGGUUCGCCAAGUUGGAUGU
RNAcentral lists this ribosomal RNA (548 nucleotides) under Pseudomonas sp. Z4S-70. RNAcentral describes it as "bacterial SSU rRNA". It matches the Rfam family "Bacterial small subunit ribosomal RNA", at positions 54 to 595 of the family's 1533-position model. Lineage: Bacteria; Pseudomonadati; Pseudomonadota; Gammaproteobacteria; Pseudomonadales; Pseudomonadaceae. The record is from RNAcentral.